RNAcentral lists this ribosomal RNA (253 nucleotides) under uncultured bacterium. RNAcentral describes it as "partial 16S ribosomal RNA". It matches the Rfam family "Bacterial small subunit ribosomal RNA", at positions 524 to 776 of the family's 1533-position model. The record is from RNAcentral.
CACGUAGGGCGCGAGCGUUGUCCGGAAUUAUUGGGCGUAAAGAGCUCGUAGGCGGCCUGUUGCGUCCGCUGUGAAAGCCCGGGGCUCAACUCCGGAUCUGCGGUGGGUACGGGCAGACUAGAGUGAUGUAGGGGAGACUGGAAUUCCUGGUGUAGCGGUGAAAUGCGCAGAUAUCAGGAGGAACACCGAUGGCGAAGGCAGGUCUCUGGGCAUUAACUGACGCUGAGGAGCGAAAGCAUGGGGAGCGAACAGG